CAAAGACAACUGGUUUUAGGGUUUUCUUUCUCAUUGCUGGGGUUCGUUGUGGGGGCGAAGAAGCCUCUCUCUAGCAAAUAGCAACAAUGUUGAUCCCGAAGAAGAACCGCAACGAGGUGUACAAGUACCUCUUUCAAGAGGGGGUGCUCCAUGCCAAGAAAGAUUACAAUCUGGAAAAGCACCCUAACAUCGAUGUUCCAAAUCUUCAUGUGAUAAAGCUCAUGCAGAGCUUCAAAUCAAAGGAAUAUGUUCGUGAGACAUUUGCAUGGAUGCAUUA
This is a long non-coding RNA of Amborella trichopoda, 277 nucleotides long. RefSeq lists it as uncharacterized. The record is from RefSeq and is a predicted model, not a curated record. Lineage: Eukaryota; Viridiplantae; Streptophyta; Magnoliopsida; Amborellales; Amborellaceae.